AUGAGCUUUUGGGGAGCAACAGUAAUUACAAGCUUAGCUAGCGCCAUACCAGUAGUAGGAGAUACCAUAGUGACUUGGCUUUGGGGUGGUUUCUCCGUGGACAAUGCCACCUUAAAUCGUUUUUUAGUCUCCAUCAUUUACUCCCCCUUAUUUUAGUAGGCGCCACUUCUUCAUCUGGCCGCAUUGCAUCAAUAUGGAUCAAAUAAUCCAUUGGGUCAUUCUGAGAUGGAUAAAAUUGCUUCUUACCCUUAUUUUUAUGUAAAGGAUCUUGUAGGUCGG
RNAcentral lists this ribosomal RNA (279 nucleotides) under Triticum aestivum (bread wheat). Its description in RNAcentral is "partial small subunit ribosomal RNA". Lineage: Eukaryota; Viridiplantae; Streptophyta; Magnoliopsida; Poales; Poaceae. The record is from RNAcentral.